AUAUCUCUCUGUACGGGAAGGAUGAGAAGCUUCGACUAAGGUUCGAUUCGAGCGCAGCGA
Molecule: small RNA, 60 nt
Filed under: Salmonella enterica subsp. enterica serovar Muenchen
Lineage: Bacteria; Pseudomonadati; Pseudomonadota; Gammaproteobacteria; Enterobacterales; Enterobacteriaceae
Also listed under: 3 other names
Description: partial RtT sRNA
Rfam family: RtT RNA
About the family: This family represents a bacterial cis-regulatory element known as RtT RNA. The exact function of RtT is unknown although it is thought that it may be involved in changing the cellular response in relation to amino acid starvation.
Source: RNAcentral